RNAcentral lists this ribosomal RNA (431 nucleotides) under uncultured bacterium. RNAcentral's name for it is "partial 16S ribosomal RNA". It matches the Rfam family "Bacterial small subunit ribosomal RNA", at positions 29 to 507 of the family's 1533-position model. The record is from RNAcentral.
AGCGAACGCUGGCGGCAGGCUUAACACAUGCAAGUCGAGCGCCCCGCAAGGGGAGCGGCAGACGGGAGAGUAACACGUGGGAACAUACCUUUUGGUUCGGAACAACUGAGGGAAACUUCAGCUAAUACCGGAUAAGCCCUUACGGGGAAAGAUUUAUCGCCGAAAGAUUGGCCCGCGUCUGAUUAGCUAGUUGGUGAGGUAACGGCUCACCAAGGCGACGAUCAGUAGCUGGUCUGAGAGGAUGAUCAGCCUCACUGGGACUGAGAAACGGCCCAGACUCCUACGGGAAGCAGCAGUGGGGAAUAUUGGAAAAUGGGGGCAACCCUGAUCCAGCCAUGACGCGUGAGUGAUGAAGGCCUUAGGGUUGUAAAGCUCUUUUGACCGGGAAGAUAAUGACGGUACCGGGAGAAUAAGCCCCGGCUAACUUCGUG